GACGAACGCUGGCGGCGUGCUUAAUACAUGCAAGUCGACUGAACUUAAGGUAGCAAUAUUUUAAGGGAGGUGGCGCACGGGUGAGUAACACGUAGGUAAUCUGCCUUUAGGACUGACAUAACUCCGCGAAAGCGGAGCUAAUUUCAGAUGAUGCAGCGGCUCGACAUCGAGACAGUUGUUAAACCUUCGGGGCCUAAAGAUGAGCCUGCGUCUGAUUAGGUAGUUGGCGGGGUAAUGGCCCACCAAGCCAUCGAUCAGUAGCUGGUCUGAGAGGAUGAUCAGCCACACUGGAACUGAGACACGGUCCAGACUCCUACGGGAGGCAGCAGUGAGGAAUAUUGCGCAAUGGCCGAAAGGCUGACGCAGCGACGCCGCGUGGAGGACGAAAUACUUUUGUAUGUAAACUCCUGUAAGAAGGGAAAAUAUUCCGAUUUAUCGGGAUUGAUUGUACCUUCAGAGUAAGCCCCGGCUAACU
This 475-nucleotide ribosomal RNA is filed under the name uncultured bacterium. RNAcentral describes it as "bacterial SSU rRNA". It matches the Rfam family "Bacterial small subunit ribosomal RNA", at positions 28 to 502 of the family's 1533-position model. The record is from RNAcentral.